GUAAAUAUAGUUUAAUCAAAACAUUAGAUUGUGAAUCUAACAUUAGAAGAAUAUAAACUUCUUAUUUACC
Molecule: transfer RNA, 70 nt
Filed under: Santamartamys rufodorsalis (red crested soft-furred spiny-rat)
Lineage: Eukaryota; Metazoa; Chordata; Mammalia; Rodentia; Echimyidae
Description: tRNA-His
Rfam family: tRNA
About the family: Transfer RNA (tRNA) molecules are approximately 80 nucleotides in length. Their secondary structure includes four short double-helical elements and three loops (D, anti-codon, and T loops).
Source: RNAcentral